Molecule: ribosomal RNA, 169 nt
Filed under: Rhamphocottus richardsonii (grunt sculpin)
Lineage: Eukaryota; Metazoa; Chordata; Actinopteri; Perciformes; Rhamphocottidae
Description: partial small subunit ribosomal RNA
Source: RNAcentral
CACCGCGGUUAUACGAGAGGCCCAAGUUGAUCAACACCGGCGUAAAGAGUGGUUAAGUUAAACCUCACAUUAAAGUCAAACAUCUUCAAGGCUGUUAUACGCAACCGAAGGCAGGAAGUUCAACCACGAAAGUGGCUUUAUUUAUUCUGAAUCCACGAAAGCUAAGGAA